Molecule: ribosomal RNA, 468 nt
Filed under: uncultured bacterium
Lineage: Bacteria
Description: partial 16S ribosomal RNA
Rfam family: Bacterial small subunit ribosomal RNA
Source: RNAcentral
GACGAACGCUGGCGGCGUGCUUAACACAUGCAAGUCGAACGGAAAGGCCCUGCUUUUGUGGGGUGCUCGAGUGGCGAACGUGUUAGUAACACGUUAGUAACCUGCCCUUGACUUUGGGAUAACUUCAGGAAACUGGGGCUAAUACCGGAUAUGAGCUCCUGCUGCAUGGUGGGGGUUGGAAAGUUUCGGCGGUUGGGGAUGGACUCGCGGCUUAUCAGCUUGUUGGUGGGGUAGUGGCUUACCAAGGCUUUGACGGGUAGCCGGCCUGAGAGGGUGACCGGCCACAUUGGGACUGAGAUACGGCCCAGACUCCUACGGGAGGCAGCAGUGGGGAAUAUUGCACAAUGGGCGGAAGCCUGAUGCAGCAACGCCGCGUGCGGGAUGACGGCCUUCGGGUUGUAAACCGCUUUCGCCUGUGACGAAGCGUGAGUGACGGUAAUGGGUAAAGAAGCACCGGCUAACUACGUG